UUGCAUAUUCAGACCCCUCACAAUAACUCGUUUCUACGCUUCGCGUAUCCACGAGUUAAAAGGUUAACGAUAUGAAAAGUUGUCAUUAUACAAUUCUGUUUUCAGAGCUUUCCUUGAAUGGUGUAAACAUCGGGGAUAUGAGGUCGAGAACAAGUUGCAGGAGCCAAGAGAUCCAAGAACCGACCAAAACCCAAACGGUCAAGUCGAAGAAGAUGACGAUCUUCAUGAUCCUGAUGACCCUCCACCCGUCGCCUGCUAAUCUACGACCAGUUCCCAUCACCCUGCAUGCACUUAUUAUCUACCAAUAUGAAUUGUAAUUCUGGUUUUUGUAGUUUUGUAGUCUUUCACUGCUUUGAUUAUUUUAUCCACUUACAAGCUUCGUUCAAUUCUACCAAUAGCGGUCGACCUAAUAAUUGAUGCAUAAAGAAACUUUAUGAAUUUUAUGAUUUUGCACUUAGCUUUAAGCGAAAUUCAUCUGUAUACUGCUUUCUUAGCCGGAGCAGUUUUCGUAUGACUGUGAAAAGCUCGCGGCACGAACACGGUCGUGACACGGCAAGGCAUACGCCAAACCAAUCACACUGCGCGAGAACUUACACUUCAUCCAAUCAAAUACCCGGAACACGGCAUAAACAAGGCGCAGACACGGUCUUAGCCGAGGUCAAGGCACUGCCAGACUAAAUACCUUUUGCGCGAGUAAAAAUAAGCCCAUCAAAAUUUUAGAAAACAUCCCAAGUCACAGUCGCGACAAGACACGCAUAUACCUAUUUCAAAAACAACACGUUGUCAGUCGGAGAUACGGCACCGAGCUUUUCAUAGUCAUACCAAAACUGGUGUAAUCUUGACUUUGUGUUACUUCUGUGCACAAAGAUGAAAACUACUACAGUCAUUAAUGCAAAGUGCACCUAAAAGUUGUUUAACCACAUUAUGCCCAAAGUAAAAGAUUCGCUAAAUCUAGAAA
Actinia tenebrosa (Australian red waratah sea anemone) is the source of this 958-nucleotide long non-coding RNA. Lineage: Eukaryota; Metazoa; Cnidaria; Anthozoa; Actiniaria; Actiniidae. The record is from RefSeq and is a predicted model, not a curated record.